RNAcentral lists this long non-coding RNA (1737 nucleotides) under Daphnia magna. RNAcentral's name for it is "uncharacterized LOC123476853". The record is from RNAcentral. Lineage: Eukaryota; Metazoa; Arthropoda; Branchiopoda; Diplostraca; Daphniidae.
CUGAAGUUAUGAAUUUUUAAUUGUUCAUUGAUGUAAACAUUUCUUUCUCUAACAGACUGUUGCAAAUUGCGACUGUUACUAGUUCUUUUUCAAUUUGUUUGUUGCAGCACUAGUGAUUUUUUGCUGUCGUACGUUCUAUUUGCCGAGUACAUCAAUUAAUUAAAGUAAAUGUCCAUGAGAAAAGUCAAAUGUGCCAUGAGAAUUUGUUGUGGGAUAAUCCUGUUUUUGCGUUCGUCUUAAGUCCCUUGAUAAAAUAAAUUAAAAGUGAGGCUGCCGAUGCAAUGCAACGUAAAAAUCUAAUGAAACUUCUAUUUGGAUUUGCAAUUUUGUUUGCGUAAAAGUAUUUUCUAUCUUAUCUUAUCUUUAACAUGUAAUAAAAAUUCAAAAAUAUCUUAUCAUUAACGGGUCUAUUUAGAUACUACCUUGUAUCGAAGCAAUUUUUUUUUGGUUUUGUUGAAUUACCGUAACUUACCUUUACUUUUGAAAAAAAUAGUUAACAUUAUCUGUAUCUUAAGGGUAAAAAAAAUCACUGAUGUUGUCAAUGGGAUUUGAUGACUACUGCAAGUAGAAAAGUGUUUGUAAGCGUGAUGAUAAAUCGCAUUAAUUAUAAUCAUAAUGUUUCUUUUUCUUUUUAACAACUCAAUUACUAUAAUACUGUCAAAAUAUAAUAACUUUUCAUUUCAAAAGAUUUAAUUCCUUGUAUCUUUAUAUCUUUAUUAUCGUGUUUAUGUACCUAUAACAAGUAUUGUAUUUAUUUUGGAAUGGGUGGGGCAAUCAACGAAAAAACAGUGCGUGCGCCAUAUGUCACAGUCUUAAAAACAUUUUUCUCUGAUUAGCUCUGACUGGGUAACGCUUUGACGCCAUAGGAGGUAUUGAAGAUUACGGGCCUUAACCAUUAAGUAGGCUUUGGGACUCUAUCGCCUCUGUACUAAUCAGAUUUACCCCAAAUAUUCCGUAUAUUGAAGAAAGUUGUCGUAGUGUCCACCAACCAAAUGAAAACAAAACUAAUCUGUUCGUUACCUCCACGACCGACGUCUCGGAUCCUAAUAGAACUUACAGAAACCCACGAAUACACAAAACAUUACACAAUGACUGCGGAUAUCGCCAUUCUUCAACGGAACACAAACGAUCACUAAGCCCAAAAACGCGAUAAGUUCCUCUAUUAACUCUCCAUUCUCAACCUAAAAUCUCACUCGUAAUCCACCUAAAUAACUCAGAUGGCUACGGGUGUAUAGCCAUUCUUAUCAAAAGCCACCUUAAAUUUUAACCUUAUUUCACAUAUCCAACUAGACUACAAUGUAGGGUAAAAGAGCGAAUUGGGACAGCGUUUGGGCAAACAGUCUUCCUUAUGGAGAAUGCGUGUAAAGCCGAUCUGCUAAUUUGGGACAAAAACCCUAAUUCGUGGGACACUUUUUCUAAUUUGGGACAAUCAUAUUUUUGAAAACUAAUUCAUUCAUUCGAUUCAGUUUUUAAUUCUGAAUCGAUUUGCUUAAGACACCAAACGGGGUGCAAUAGGAAAAUAUUGCGAAAUUUAUGAUUUAAAAAACCAAAACAAAGAGCUGUCAAAACGAGACUUCAUCUGUACAGGCCUGUGUACUUGCAAUCGAAACUCAUGUCAACCACAAAAUAUUUAUUUUUUAUAAAUUUAUAUCAUACUGUUCUCUUUAAGUAGCCAAUAGGCCAUCAUAUCAUGGUAAAAAACAAAAAAAAUAAACGUGCCUGGAAUUUUCGAGAAAA